ACCUUCUUAGCGCAACAGGCAGAGGCAAUAGUUUUAGAAACUAUACAGUGUGGGUUCGAAUCCCACAGAAGGUA
Molecule: transfer RNA, 74 nt
Filed under: Bacteroidia bacterium
Lineage: Bacteria; Pseudomonadati; Bacteroidota; Bacteroidia
Description: tRNA-Leu
Rfam family: tRNA
About the family: Transfer RNA (tRNA) molecules are approximately 80 nucleotides in length. Their secondary structure includes four short double-helical elements and three loops (D, anti-codon, and T loops). Further hydrogen bonds mediate the characteristic L-shaped molecular structure. tRNAs have two regions of fundamental functional importance: the anti-codon, which is responsible for specific mRNA codon recognition, and the 3' end, to which the tRNAs corresponding amino acid is attached (by aminoacyl-tRNA synthetases). tRNAs cope with the degeneracy of the genetic code in two manners: having more than one tRNA (with a specific anti-codon) for a particular amino acid; and 'wobble' base-pairing, i.e. permitting non-standard base-pairing at the 3rd anti-codon position.
Source: RNAcentral